AGUUUGAUCCUGGCUCAGGAUGAACGCUAGCUACAGGCUUAACACAUGCAAGUCGAGGGGAAACGACAUCGAAAGCUUGCUUUUGAUGGGCGUCGACCGGCGCACGGGUGAGUAACGCGUAUCCAACCUGCCCACCACUUGGGGAUAACCUUGCGAAAGUAAGACUAAUACCCAAUGAUAUCUCUAGAAGACAUCUGAAAGGGAUUAAAGAUUUAUCGGUGAUGGAUGGGGAUGCGUCUGAUUAGCUUGUUGGCGGGGUAGCGGCCCACCAAGGCGACGAUCAGUAGGGGUUCUGAGAGGAAGGUCCCCCACAUUGGAACUGAGACACGGUCCAAACUCCUACGGGAGGCAGCAGUGAGGAAUAUUGGUCAAUGGACGAGAGUCUGAACCAGCCAAGUAGCGUGCAGGAUGACGGCCCUAUGGGUUGUAAACUGCUUUUAUAAGGGAAUAAAGUGAGUCUCGUGAGACUUUUUGCAUGUACCUUAUGAAUAAGGACCGGCUAAUUCCGUGCCAGCAGCCGCGGUAAUACGGAAGGUCCGGGCGUUAUCCGGAUUUAUUGGGUUUAAAGGGAGCGUAGGCCGGAGAUUAAGCGUGUUGUGAAAUGUAGACGCUCAACGUCUGCACUGCAGCGCGAACUGGUUUCCUUGAGUACGCACAAAGUGGGCGGAAUUCGUGGUGUAGCGGUGAAAUGCUUAGAUAUCACGAAGAACUCCGAUUGCGAAGGCAGCUCACUGGAGCGCAACUGACGCUGAAGCUCGAAAGUGCGGGUAUCGAACAGGAUUAGAUACCCUGGUAGUCCGCACGGUAAACGAUGGAUGCCCGCUGUUGGUCUGAAUAGGUCAGCGGCCAAGCGAAAGCAUUAAGCAUCCCACCUGGGGAGUACGCCGGCAACGGUGAAACUCAAAGGAAUUGACGGAAGG
Molecule: ribosomal RNA, 920 nt
Filed under: uncultured bacterium
Lineage: Bacteria
Description: bacterial SSU rRNA
Rfam family: Bacterial small subunit ribosomal RNA
Source: RNAcentral